UUUUCCUUUUUACACGAUUGUAUCUAAAAUAUUACAAAACUAGUCAAACAUGUUACUAUGUUAAGAAUGAGUAAUAAUUUGAUAAUAACAUUUAGUAUCGUGUUAACUGUGUUACAAGAAUGUAAAAAAUAAAUAUUUAUAUUUUUUUUUCCAACACAGUACAGUAAAUAGUGAUUGGUAAAUAGAGAUGGGUGAACAUUUAGAAAAUAGACAUGUCUCUGACUUGACCAAUUUUUUCGAAAAUUUGCAGAGAACAAAUCAUUCAGUAUCUACCAUGCCUCUAACAUCAGAAAGUACGGACUCUAUCAGUACAAUGAAAACUGUAAAAGAAAUGGCAAAACAUUUUGAAAAUAGUACCUCGGGAAAUGUAUUGAACUUUUCAAAUGUCCAAAAACUGCAAAAUAUUCAAACAAUAAGAGGGAAAUCGCAAUAUAAAGCAUCAAAAAGUAAAGAACUCAAAGCAGGAGAUCAAGUUGAAGUAAAAUCUUGUAAAUUCAACAACAAAAUUUCAGAAUACGUAUGUGAUAAAAAUAUAUCUGCAACUUCGUCAAUAAGAAAUCUAGCAAAUAAUACAGAACGUAGCAAAACUAUUACAACAAGUGAAGAUUUACAAAAGAAAAGCAAACAAUUUAUGUCUAGUAGUAUAAAAAUUAGCGAAAAAAUCAAUAAAGAAGACGGAUUAUUUCGUAGUAGUGAACCAAUUCAAAAAGUAAGUCCUAAAAAUACAAAAGGAGAUGAGCUUGAAGAAAUUCGUAAAAAUCUGUUAUCCUAUAUGGAUAAAAUCAACGAAAUGAUGCAAAAUGAUGGGUAUAAUAUUGAUAGUGGCAAUAAUGAGAUUGAAAUAUGUGUCAAAGAUAAACCAGAAAUUAUCGACAAGCAAGACAUAGGAGUUCUCGAAGAAGCUUGUAACUUUAGCAUAUUUGAAAAUAAAAAUGCACUGAUAGAAAACUAUACAGAAGAAGAAAAACAAAUUUUAGGUAAUGAUUUGUUGAAAGCCACUGCAGUCACGAGUACAGGUGAUAUUGACAAUAUUGACAGAACCAGUAGCGAAAGUGGUAUUUUUGAUGAAGCAUCAAAUAGUUCUGAUAAUAUUUAUGAAGAAGUAUUCAUUGAUUCCAAUGAUCACUUGUAUCUGAAUUGCAAUUUUUAUGGCUUGUAUCCAAAGUACCAUAUUAACGAAAGCACGCUAUAUAAGAAUCAUGUCUUAAGUAACUAUCAACUAACAGAUACAAAAAACAAAUUAAAAUGUAUUAUUGAAGAAAUGAUACAAUCUGAAAAGGAAUAUAUUUUGGAUUUAUCAAUAAUUAUUUUUGAGUAUCAAAAACUGGUUAAGCUGGAUGGAAUCAGCAACUAUGAAGACAUUUUCGGAAACAUUGAAGAUAUCUAUAAGUUACAACUCGAGUUCUCUAAGCAGCUUGAAUUAUCAAAUCAACCUGAGGAUGUCUUGAAAACGUUUUGCCAACAUGAAACUUUGUUUAACAUGUAUCCAACAUUUUUUAAACAAACAUUAGACGGUAGCCAUGUUCUGGAAAAGUAUUCUGAUUUAUUACAGAAAAUUCAGAAGAAAACUAACAACCCACAAAAUCUGUCUUUUUACUUGGUAAAACCUCUACAGAGACUGGUCAAAUACAAGAUGUUUUUAGAAAGCAUAUAUAAGGAGCUUGAAGAAGAGCAAAGAGGGAUCUGGGAUACAUUCAAAGCCUUAAAAAUUGUAGAGUGGACUUUAUAUUGCGGAAAUCGAGAAGUUGCUAUUAGUUCUAUAUCAAAUAGCCCACUGAAGCCUGAAGAAUAUGGCGCAUUUAAGAAGGAAGACACAUUUUCAUUGGUCAGUCCAAAAAAACUAAAAGUGGCUGUAUAUUUAUUUAGUAAAGUUGUGGUUUUUGCUACGAAAACGAAAUGUACUAGUAGAUUUCAGUACUGGAAUAGUAUUUCAAUAAGUAGUCUUGGCAUAGUACUGACUCAUGAUAAAACACUACAUUUAGUGGAUUUUGAAAACAAAUCCAAAAAGAUCAAUUACGUCCUAAAAGCCAAAUCCAAAAAAUUGAAAGACGCAUGGUCAAAGGAAGUUGAAAACAUUUUGUGGAAAGAAUUCGAAGUACAAAAAGCGUCUACUAUGUCUAUAUCAUCAGAUUGGACAGGUUCUGUCGAUACUAUAAAAUCUGAAGAAGUUAUAUCAACACAUUCCGAAAAUAAUAGUUCAGAGAAUUCAUCGAAUACCGGAAGUGUUAAAAAUUUGCAAAAUAUUGAAGAAAUGUACGAAGAAAUAAAAAAUAAAAAAGCUGGAAGUAGUGAGGAUCUAGAAAAUUAUGGAAAUCUAUAUGAAAAUUCAAUAGUAAAUAAUCCUGCAGAUAAUGGUGCAUGUUGCAACAGUAUUUCAAACUGUGAGGAUUUAUACAAGAAUAGCAAACAAAUCUCUAAUUGUAAAAAAACUAGUGGUGGAAUAAGUAAUGAAACUAUAGAAAACUGUAAUGGAAAACCAAUUCAGGCAACGCAUCUUUAUGAAAACCUCAACGAUAUACAGAAAGAGGUGAUUGAAAAAUAUGGUAAAAAUGGGUUGUCUCAUAAAGAUGAAGCCAGUAACGUAGUUACUUUUGGAUAUAUUACUAAAAGUAUCGGUAAUGAGAGUGGUUUUUUUGAUGAAGCAGCAAACGGUUCUGACAGUAUUUAUGACGAUGUAUAUGAUGAUAGUGAUGACAUUACUGAUGACCACUCGUACACGAAUUGUAAUUGUUAUGGUUUUUAUUCCAAAAAUCUUAUCAACAAAAGUGUCCUAUAUGAGGAAAGUGUUUUAAGCAAUGAUCAGUCAGCUGAUACAAAAAAUAAAAUCAAAUUUAUUAUUGAAGAAAUGGUCCAAUCUGAGAAAAAAUACAUUUUGGAUUUAGAAAUAAUUAUAUAUGAAUAUCAAGAAUUGUUUAAACUAAGCGGAAUAAGUGACAUUGAAGAAAUUUUUGGAAAUAUCGAAGACAUAUAUAACAAGCAACUCCUUUUCUGUAAGCAGCUUGAAUUAGCCAAAGAACCUGAGGAUAUUUUAAAAUGUUUUUCCCAACAUGUAGGAGAGCUUGUUUAACAUGUAUCCAAUAUUUUUAAAACAAACCUUAUCAGCAAGUCAUGUAUUGGAAAAAUAUGAGGAAGCUUUACAGAAAGUUCAAAAGAAAACUAAUGAUCCUCUAAAUCUACCCUCGUAUUUGCUUAAACCUCUACAGAGGCUGGUGAAGUACAAGUUGUUUUUAGAAAAUAUCUAUAAGCAAGUCCAACGAGAAGAAAGAGUUGUCUAUGACUCUUUCGAAGCUUUAAAAAUCGUCAAGUGGAGCUUGUCUUUAGGUGAUCGAGAAGUUGCUAUUAGUUCCAUAGCAAACAGCCCUAUCAAACCUGAAGAAUACGGCGCUUUUAAGAAAGAAGAUAAAUUUUUAUUAGUCAGUCCAAAAAAACUAAACGUUGUUGUGUAUCUGUUUAGUAAAUUUGUUGUUUUUGCUACGAAA
Molecule: unclassified non-coding RNA, 3479 nt
Filed under: Sitophilus oryzae (rice weevil)
Lineage: Eukaryota; Metazoa; Arthropoda; Insecta; Coleoptera; Curculionidae
Description: rhoGEF domain-containing protein gxcI-like, transcript variant X3
Source: RNAcentral